Molecule: long non-coding RNA, 411 nt
Organism: Stomoxys calcitrans (stable fly)
Lineage: Eukaryota; Metazoa; Arthropoda; Insecta; Diptera; Muscidae
Exons: 3
Source: RefSeq, a predicted model, not a curated record
CAUGGUUAGAUCAACGCCAAUAUCGAAUUAAGGAAAAGAGGCAAAGGUUAAGUCUUAAUCUCAGCAGAAAGCAAAGGUGAGCCAAAUAGUUCUUCGCGAAGGAGGCCACCGUAGCGCAGAGCUGUUAGUAUCCCCUCUUUAUACUGGCUGCGUUCGUAAGGCACUCCCCAAAAAGUUGUCGCACUGCGGCACGCCGUUCGGACUCGGCAAUAAAAUGGCGCCCUCUUAUCAUUAAGCUUUCGGAUAGCAUUUAAUGAUAUAUGGGGAUGAAGGAGUGCUGUUGCAUUAUGGGUCCAUUACACUGUCAAGUGAACGUUUGGAGGAAGGGCGGCUUCGAAUCCAGUCCGAAAUGCAUCAUUCACCACUAAAACAAUCCCCGGCCAGCAGUAUUGAAGGCGGUACAAGUUGGAC